CGAAAACGAAAAAUCCGAAUCAGUUAUCACUUCACAUUACUUUCAUUGUUGAAGAGAAUUUGAUGAUACUCUCUUCCUAAUAUUUUGUUAUCGCAGAAACAGCAAUGGAUUUGGGUAUUUGAAUGAAAACUGAAAUUGUUUUGUAAUGGAAGAACUUGCCAUGGCUGCCAUAGCCCAGGAAGGCUUUGUUGGCUUCGUUCAAGAUCUGAUCACCAUGGAUCAAUAACUUGUUGGAAUACCAAGUCAAGAAGAACUUCCCUUUUUCACUAAGCUGUUGGGCAGGUCUCACGAGGAUCAAACAAUCCAGAAAUUGAUGGUACCUUCUUUAACCUUUUUGGUCGACAUUGUGUUUGUUUUGUAUUUUAGUAUGUGAUCGUUAAUAAAUCUCGGUACGACUUUGUUUUAGUUUCA
Molecule: long non-coding RNA, 411 nt
Organism: Cynara cardunculus var. scolymus (artichoke)
Lineage: Eukaryota; Viridiplantae; Streptophyta; Magnoliopsida; Asterales; Asteraceae
Exons: 3
Source: RefSeq, a predicted model, not a curated record